AAUCUUCCACAAUGGACGCAAGUCUGAUGGAGCAACGCCGCGUGAGCGAAGAAGGUUUUCGGACCGUAAAGCUCUGUUGUUGGUGAAGAAGGAUAGAGGUAGUAACUGGCCUUUAUUUGACGGUAAUCAACCAGAAAGUCACGGCUAACUACGUGCCAGCAGCCGCGGUAAUACGUAGGUGGCAAGCGUUGUCCGGAUUUAUUGGGCGUAAAGCGAGCGCAGGCGGAAGAAUAAGUCUGAUGUGAAAGCCCUCGGCUUAACCGAGGAAUUGCAUCGGAAACUGUUUUCUUGAGUGCAGAAGAGGAGAGUAGAACUCCAUGUGUAGCGGUGGAAUGCGUAGAUAUAUGGAAGAAUACCAGUGGCGAAGGCGGCUCUCUGGUCUGCAACUGACGCUGAGGCUCGAAAGCAUGGGUAGCGAACAGGAUUAGAUACCCUGGUAGUCCAUGCCGUAAACGAUGAGUGCUAAGUGUUGGGAGGCUUCCGCCUCUCAGUGCUGCAGCUAACGCAUUAAGCACUCCGCCUGGGGAGUACGACCGCAAGGUUGAAAC
Molecule: ribosomal RNA, 548 nt
Filed under: uncultured bacterium
Lineage: Bacteria
Description: partial 16S ribosomal RNA
Rfam family: Bacterial small subunit ribosomal RNA
Source: RNAcentral